AUCCAACUGACGAGUCCCGAAUAGGACGAAAUGCGCAUCCUAAAU
This 45-nucleotide non-coding RNA is filed under the name Trichobilharzia regenti. The record is from RNAcentral. Lineage: Eukaryota; Metazoa; Platyhelminthes; Trematoda; Strigeidida; Schistosomatidae.